RNAcentral lists this long non-coding RNA (694 nucleotides) under Homo sapiens (human). RNAcentral describes it as "HSALNT0198863". The record is from RNAcentral. Lineage: Eukaryota; Metazoa; Chordata; Mammalia; Primates; Hominidae.
GGAAAAUCACUCAGGCCCUCUGGGUUUGAAUUGCACUGUCUGUGCAACACUUCAUAGAGCAUUGGCCUCAAAGUUCUUUUCUAGCUGUAACAGCCUGCGAGUCUGUGAAACCAAUUGCUAACUGCACAGCAGACUGACUCCUAGAGAAUGUGCACAGCCCAGCAGCUCAGACCAUUACUACGGAAAGAAAGAAAAACAUCAUGGCUGCUGCUUCCUGCUCCUGAUAGGAGAAGUUCUUACGAAAAGCAAGAGUUGACAGCAUGGAGCAGUCCCUGUGUGUGUCAGCUGCUCAGCAGUGGCCACCAGAAGAAAAUUGUCAGGGACCCUCCAAAGAAAGAUGAGAAGGUAUCGUGGGCGAAAACAGCAGAGAUAGAUAGGAGCUGCAUCAUCUUCAUCCCGAUCUGAAAUGGAAUCAAAUCAUCCUCGGAGAUCUCAAUCUGCCCACCCUUAGGGAAAUGAGUGAGAAUGGCCAGGAACCUAUCCUCAGGGAGGCUCUGGCCUCUUCAUUCCUCCAUGGCACCAUGUCUACUGUGUGCCAGGCAUGUGCUGGGAUUGGAAACAUGAAGCAGACAUGGCCCACCUUUCAAGGAGCUCGCAGCUUAGUAGGAAAAGAGCCAGAGUGGAGUUGCAUUUCAGACAGCAGUUAGGUAGAUUCUCAAGUCAACAUUAAGGAGAAAAUCAAGUCUAACCAAAA